AUUUAGCUGACGAGUCCCAAGUAGGACGAAACGCGCGUCCUGGAU
Schistosoma haematobium is the source of this 45-nucleotide non-coding RNA. The record is from Rfam. Lineage: Eukaryota; Metazoa; Platyhelminthes; Trematoda; Strigeidida; Schistosomatidae.